GCCGGAGUGGCGGAAUGGCAGACGCACUGGACUUAAAAUCCAGUGGGGAGCAAUCCCCGUGCCGGUUCGAGUCCGGCCUCCGGCA
Molecule: transfer RNA, 85 nt
Filed under: Dictyoglomus turgidum DSM 6724
Lineage: Bacteria; Pseudomonadati; Dictyoglomota; Dictyoglomia; Dictyoglomales; Dictyoglomaceae
Rfam family: tRNA
About the family: Transfer RNA (tRNA) molecules are approximately 80 nucleotides in length.
Source: Rfam by way of RNAcentral